UGUGGGUCUGGUGACUGGUGUCAGAGUAGGU
Molecule: non-coding RNA, 31 nt
Filed under: Homo sapiens (human)
Lineage: Eukaryota; Metazoa; Chordata; Mammalia; Primates; Hominidae
Source: RNAcentral